This 265-nucleotide long non-coding RNA is filed under the name Capsicum annuum. RNAcentral describes it as "long non-coding RNA (CANN_LNC011125)". Lineage: Eukaryota; Viridiplantae; Streptophyta; Magnoliopsida; Solanales; Solanaceae. The record is from RNAcentral.
GGAGAGUUUCUGUCACAUAGUAGUAAAGUUCUUAUAUCAAAUAUGCUUCAAAGUAUUCCUGUAUAUUUACUUUCUACUCUUGUUCCAACAAAGCUCAUAAUGCAGAAAACUCAAUGAUUUUUUUGCAAUAUUCUUUUGAAAUAAUAAGGACAACGGGUAGAGAAGGCAUCAAGUAAAGUGGAAAGACCUAUGUCUUCCUAAAAAUGAAGGUGGAUUUGGAUUUAGAUUUCUCUUUAAUGUAUCAAAGGCAUUUUUUGCAAAUUUA